Betta splendens (Siamese fighting fish) is the source of this 382-nucleotide long non-coding RNA. RefSeq lists it as uncharacterized. NCBI's taxonomy places the organism in Eukaryota, Metazoa, Chordata, Actinopteri, Anabantiformes, Osphronemidae. The transcript has 2 exons. The record is from RefSeq and is a predicted model, not a curated record.
UGGUUGCUCUUAGUUACCGCAGCUGUUUGAAUGUGGGAAAAGCGGUCCUCGUCGAUGCCUCCUGUCGUCUGUACUUGAUCUAAACAGUCUUAGAUCGGUCUUUAACACCGGUCCUGGUUCGGACCCAGUCGUUUAACCGGAGCGCCACCCACAGGUCGCAGAACAUUUACCUUGGCAGGCAACAGGAGGCAUCAGCAGCCCGAAUGCUGCACAGCUGCUGAGGUUCCGUCAUGUGAUGCAUCAGUGGAGUAACAACAUCAGUGUCAGGAAUAGAACUGUCACACAGAACUCUGGCUAAAUGCACACUGAGCAAAUAUGAAAUGAGAAUGUGGUUACAUCAAUGAAUAGACUGAACCAAUGCUUAAAGGAUUUAUUGAAUGAA